GACGAACGCUGGCGGCGUGCUUAACACAUGCAAGUCGAACGAUGAAGCUGGAGCUUGCUCCGGUGGAUUAGUGGCGAACGGGUGAGUAACACGUGAGCAAUCUGCCCUUGACUCUGGGAUAACUGCGGGAAACUGUAGCUAAUACCGGAUACUUUCACUGGAAGGCAUCUUCUGGUGAAGAAAGAAUUUCGGUCAAGGAUGAGCUCGCGGCCUAUCAGCUUGUUGGUGAGGUAACGGCUCACCAAGGCGACGACGGGUAGCCGGCCUGAGAGGGUGACCGGCCACAAUGGGACUGAGACACGGCCCAGACUCCUACGGGAGGCAGCAGUGGGGAAUAUUGCACAAUGGGCGCAAGCCUGAUGCAGCAACGCCGCGUGAGGGAUGAAGGCCUUCGGGUUGUAAACCUCUUUUAGCAGGGAAGAAGCGAAAGUGACUGUACCUGCAGAAAAAGCACCGGCUAACUACGUGCCAGCCGCCGCGGUAA
Molecule: ribosomal RNA, 484 nt
Filed under: uncultured bacterium
Lineage: Bacteria
Description: partial 16S ribosomal RNA
Rfam family: Bacterial small subunit ribosomal RNA
Source: RNAcentral